AACCAUAGAAACCUGCGGAGUACCUGCGGAGGGAUCAUUACCGAGUUUACAACUCCCAAACCCCUGUGAACAUACCUAUACGUUGCCUCGGCGGAUCAGCCCGCGCCCCGUAAAACGGGACGGCCCGCCCGAGGACCCUAAACUCUGUUUUUAGUGGAACUUCUGAGUAAAACAAACAAAUAAAUCAAAACUUUUAGCAACGGAUCU
This 207-nucleotide unclassified non-coding RNA is filed under the name soil metagenome. RNAcentral describes it as "partial contains 5.8S ribosomal RNA, internal transcribed spacer 2, and large subunit ribosomal RNA". The record is from RNAcentral.